CGACUCUCGGCAACGGAUAUCUCGGCUCUCGCAUCGAUGAAGAACGUAGCGAAAUGCGAUACUUAGUGUGAAUUGCAGAAUCCCGUGAACCAUCGAGUCUUUGAACGCAAGUUGCGCCCCAAGCCAUUAGGCCGAGGGCACGCCUGCCUGGUGUCACG
RNAcentral lists this ribosomal RNA (158 nucleotides) under Tilia dasystyla. RNAcentral describes it as "5.8S ribosomal RNA". It matches the Rfam family "5.8S ribosomal RNA". From Rfam's summary of the family: 5.8S ribosomal RNA (5.8S rRNA) is a component of the large subunit of the eukaryotic ribosome. It is transcribed by RNA polymerase I as part of the 45S precursor that also contains 18S and 28S rRNA. Functionally, it is thought that 5.8S rRNA may be involved in ribosome translocation. The record is from RNAcentral. Lineage: Eukaryota; Viridiplantae; Streptophyta; Magnoliopsida; Malvales; Malvaceae.